Molecule: ribosomal RNA, 454 nt
Filed under: uncultured bacterium
Lineage: Bacteria
Description: bacterial SSU rRNA
Rfam family: Bacterial small subunit ribosomal RNA
Source: RNAcentral
GAAGAUGAGGAGUGCUUGCACAAAUUGAUCAAUGGGAUGACUUAGUGGCGGACGGGUGAGUAACGCGGUGGGUAACCUGCCUUAUACAGGGGGAUAACAGUUAGAAAUGACUGCUAAUACCGCAUAAGCGCACAGUAUCGCAUGAUACAGUGUGAAAAAGCCGAGACGGUAUAAGAUGGACCCGCGUCUGAUUAGCCAGUUGGGCAGGGUAACGGCCUACCAAAGCAACGAUCAGUAGCCGGCCUGAGAGGGUGAACGGCCACAUUGGGGACUGAGACACGGCCCAAACUCCUACGGGAGGCAGCAGUGGGGGAUAUUGCACAAUGGGGGAAACCCUGAUGCAGCCGACGCCGCGUGAGUGAUGAAGUAUUUCGGUAUGUAAAACUCUAUCAGCAGGGAAGAAGAUGACGGUACCUGACUAAGAAGCUCCGGCUAAAUACGUGCCAGCCGCCGC